GCCCAGUCGGGGCCACUGAGAUGGGACA
Molecule: small RNA, 28 nt
Filed under: Bombyx mori (domestic silkworm)
Lineage: Eukaryota; Metazoa; Arthropoda; Insecta; Lepidoptera; Bombycidae
Description: ovarian small RNA-16637
Source: RNAcentral